AUAAAUGCAUUGAAAAAGUAAAGUAGCAUUUUGGAAAAUCACAGAGAGGAAAACAUUGGUGAGAGUUUUCUAUUUAGAAGAAAUGUGAAGUGCACUUUGGAGCAGAAACUCGAAUUAACAGUAGAGUUCUCCGGGAUCACCCGUUAUAGUGAUUAGGCAUGUUAGUGCUGGAAUUUUCGAGUGUAGAUAUAUUUAUUUAUAUCUAAAUUAGAGUGGAACCGCGAGUAUACCUCGUCUCUAUU
Molecule: non-coding RNA, 242 nt
Filed under: Clostridium sp.
Lineage: Bacteria; Bacillati; Bacillota; Clostridia; Eubacteriales; Clostridiaceae
Description: T-box sequence
Rfam family: T-box leader
About the family: Uncharged tRNA acts as the effector for transcription antitermination of genes in the T-box leader family. T-boxes are found upstream of many aminoacyl-tRNA synthetase genes and some amino acid biosynthetic genes usually in Gram-positive bacteria. The anticodon of a specific tRNA base pairs to a specifier sequence within the T-box motif, and the NCCA acceptor tail of the tRNA base pairs to a conserved bulge in the T-box antiterminator hairpin.
Source: RNAcentral